Molecule: ribosomal RNA, 910 nt
Filed under: uncultured marine archaeon
Lineage: Archaea
Description: bacterial SSU rRNA
Rfam family: Archaeal small subunit ribosomal RNA
Source: RNAcentral
GGUUGAUCCUGCCGGACCUGACUGCUAUCGGAUUGAUACUAAGCCAUGCGAGUCUUUGCAGUAAUGCAAGGCAUACGGCUCAGUAACACGUAGUCAACUUACCCUAUGGACGAGGAUAAUCUCGGGAAACUGAGCAUAAUACUCGAUAGAUCAUAAUGCCUGGAAUGGUUUAUGGUUGAAAUGAUUCGUCGCCAUAGGAUGGGACUGCGGCCUAUCAGCUUGUUGGUGAGGUAAUGGCCCACCAAGGCGAUUACAGGUACGGGCUCUGAGAGGAGAAGCCCGGAGAUGGGUACUGAGACAAGGACCCAGGCCCUAUGGGGCGCAGCAGGCGAGAAAACUUUGCAAUGUGCGAAAGCACGACAAGGUUAAUCCGAGUGAUUUCUGCUAAAGAAAUCUUUUGCAAGUCAUAAAACCACUAGUGAAUAAGGGGUGGGCAAGUUCUGGUGUCAGCCGCCGCGGUAAAACCAGCACCUCAAGUGGUCAGGAGGAUUAUUGGGCCUAAAGCAUCCGUAGCCGGCUCUGUAAGUUUUCGGUUAAAUCCAUGUGCUCAACGCAUGGGCUGCCGAAAAUACUGCAUAGCUAGGGAGUGGGAGAGGUAGACGGUACUCGGUAGGAAGGGGUAAAAUCCUUUGAUCUAUCGAUGACCACCUGUGGCGAAGGCGGUCUACCAGAACACGUUCGACGGUGAGGGAUGAAAGCUGGGGGAGCAAACCGGAUUAGAUACCCGGGUAGUCCCAGCUGUAAACGAUGCAGACUCGAUGAUGCAUUGGCAUAUAGCCAGUGCAGUGUCGCAGGGAAGCCGUUAAGUCUGCCGCCCGGGAAGUACGUACGCAAGUAUGAAACUUAAAGGAAUUGGCGGGGGAGCACCACAAGGGGUGAAGCCUGCGGUUCAAUUGGAUUCAACGCCGGG